GAUCAUGGCUCAGGACGAACGCUGGCGGCGUGCUUAACACAUGCAAGUCGAACGGUGAAGGGGAGCUUGCUCCCCGGAUCAGUGGCGAACGGGUGAGUAACACGUGGGCAACCUGCCCCAGACUUCGGGAUAACGCUUCGAAAGAGGUGCUAAUACCGGAUACGAACUCCUUGGGCAUCCCGGGAGUUGGAAAGUUUUUUCGGUCUGGGAUGGGCCCGCGGCCUAUCAGCUUGUUGGUGAGGUAACGGCUCACCAAGGCGACGACGGGUAGUCGGCCUGAGAGGGCGACCGGCCACACUGGGACUGAGACACGGCCCAGACUCCUACGGGAGGCAGCAGUGGGGAAUAUUGCGCAAUGGGCGAAAGCCUGACGCAGCAACGCCGCGUGAGGGAUGACGGCCUUCGGGUUGUAAACCUCUUUCAGCAGGGAAGAAGCGAAAGUGACGGUACCUGCAGAAGAAGCACCGGCUAACUACGUG
Molecule: ribosomal RNA, 479 nt
Filed under: uncultured bacterium
Lineage: Bacteria
Description: bacterial SSU rRNA
Rfam family: Bacterial small subunit ribosomal RNA
Source: RNAcentral